RNAcentral lists this ribosomal RNA (506 nucleotides) under uncultured bacterium. RNAcentral's name for it is "bacterial SSU rRNA". It matches the Rfam family "Bacterial small subunit ribosomal RNA", at positions 29 to 528 of the family's 1533-position model. The record is from RNAcentral.
AGCGAACGUUUGCGGCGGGCUUAACACAUGCAAGUCGAACGAGAAUCCCUUCGGGGAGGAAAGUGGCGCACGGGUGCGUAACACGUGGAUAACCAACCCAUUGGUUUGGGACAACACCGGGAAACUGGUGCUAAUACCAGAUGUGUCGCAGCUGUCUUCAGGCGGUUGCGAGAAAGGCCCGCAAGGGUCGCCAACGGACGGGUCCGCGUCCCAUCAGCUAGUUGGUGAGGUAAUGGCUCACCAAGGCAAAGACGGGUAGCUGGUCUGAGAGGAUGAUCAGCCACACUGGAACUGAGACACGGUCCAGACUCCUACGGGAGGCAGCAGUGGGGAAUAUUGCGCAAUGGGCGAAAGCCUGACGCAGCCACGCCGCGUGAGCGAUGAAGGUCUUCGGAUCGUAAAGCUCUGUGGGGGGAGAAGAAGAAAGCCGGUGAAGAGCCGGCCCUGACGGUAUCCCCUUAGCAAGCACCGGCUAACUCCGUGCCAGCAGCCGCGGUAAAGUACAG